This 415-nucleotide ribosomal RNA is filed under the name uncultured bacterium. RNAcentral's name for it is "bacterial SSU rRNA". It matches the Rfam family "Bacterial small subunit ribosomal RNA", at positions 64 to 524 of the family's 1533-position model. The record is from RNAcentral.
GAGCGCCGUAGCAAUACGGAGCGGCGGACGGGAGAGUAACACGUGGGAACGUGCCCUUUGGUUCGGAACAACCCAGGGAAACUUGGGCUAAUACCGGAUAAGCCCUUACGGGGUAAAGAUUUAUCGCCGAAGGAUCGGCCCGCGUCUGAUUAGCUAGUUGGUGGGGUAAUGGCCCACCAAGGCGACGAUCAGUAGCUGGUCUGAGAGGAUGAUCAGCCUCACUGGGACUGAGACACGGCCCAUACUCCUACGGGAGGCAGCAGCGGGGAAUAUUGGACAAUGGGCGCAAGCCUGAUCCAGCCAUGCCGCGUGGGUGAUGAAGGCCCUAGGGUUGUAAAGCCCUUUCGGCGGGGAAGAUAAUGACGGUACCCGCAGAAGAAGCCCCGGCUAACUUCGUGCCAGCAGCCGCGGUAAU